GAUGAACGCUGGCGGCGUGCCUAAUACAUGCAAGUCGAGCGAACAGACGAGGAGCUUGCUCCUCUGACGUUAGCGGCGGACGGGUGAGUAACACGUGGAUAACCUACCUAUAAGACUGGGAUAACUUCGGGAAACCGGAGCUAAUACCGGAUAAUAUAUUGAACCGCAUGGUUCGAUAGUGAAAGACGGUUUUGCUGUCACUUAUAGAUGGAUCCGCGCCGCAUUAGCUAGUUGGUAAGGUAACGGCUUACCAAGGCAACGAUGCGUAGCCGACCUGAGAGGGUGAUCGGCCACACUGGAACUGAGACACGGUCCAGACUCCUACGGGAGGCAGCAGUAGGGAAUCUUCCGCAAUGGGCGAAAGCCUGACGGAGCAACGCCGCGUGAGUGAUGAAGGUCUUCGGAUCGUAAAACCCUGUUAUUAGGGAAGAACAAAUGUGUAAGUAACUAUGCACGUCUUGACGGUACCUAAUCAGAAAGCCACGGCUAACUACGUG
This 497-nucleotide ribosomal RNA is filed under the name uncultured bacterium. RNAcentral describes it as "partial 16S ribosomal RNA". It matches the Rfam family "Bacterial small subunit ribosomal RNA", at positions 28 to 507 of the family's 1533-position model. The record is from RNAcentral.